RNAcentral lists this non-coding RNA (30 nucleotides) under Rattus norvegicus (Norway rat). Lineage: Eukaryota; Metazoa; Chordata; Mammalia; Rodentia; Muridae. The record is from RNAcentral.
UUCCAUUUCCCCAUUUUGUUGAGAGACUGC